This 2536-nucleotide unclassified non-coding RNA is filed under the name uncultured fungus. Its description in RNAcentral is "sequence contains 18S rRNA gene, ITS1, 5.8S rRNA gene, ITS2, 28S rRNA gene". The stretch from base 1428 to 2536 matches the Rfam family "Eukaryotic large subunit ribosomal RNA", at positions 1 to 961 of the family's 3401-position model. The record is from RNAcentral. Lineage: Eukaryota; Fungi.
GGAAGGAUCAUUUACUACGUUUUAAAGAAACGUUUCCACCCUGGUGUUCUGUUUAAGUGACUGAAAUUGGGUAACAUAAGACUGAGUCGAGGAGGUCUAGUUCCACCGCCUUACCAAACCGGGCAGGAACUAAGCCGUCGAGCGCGAACUUUGUCAGAGACUAAAAAAACCUGCGAGGUUUUGUCAAGAGGGGACCUGAGACGAACAUCGGGUUACUGGACGGAGCAAGUUUGUUAGCGACUGAGAGACAAUCGUCGUCUCUUUGUGUCUAGGAAAGGUCGGGAUAACUUUGGCUGUCACCAGAGUUUCAUUCUAACCUGUCUUACCGGCUGCGCGCUGGGCUUUCCACUCCAACUUUUUGGCCGCGCGCUGAGAGGUAUUCCAUACUUCUCUUGGUUAGAGAAUUGACAACUUUCUUUUGGACUUUGGCAAAUAUUCUGAGUGGUAACUGUUUUAAAAAGAGAGAACCUGCGCGGGACUCCUUCUUUUUUUCAGUUGUUUGCGUGAUGCCUCGAAGCAGUCUUCCAACAAGGUCGUUUUUGGUUUGAUUUAACCCCAAAAAUACGAAUCUGUUCUUAUUGAGCGGUGAUCGAUCCUUGUGUUUAGCAAGAGAAGCGUGGACGAGGAAGUGUGGUGGAAGCUGGUAGAUCAUUGACCUGCGCGGUACCGAGGCGGACACGUACUCGGGAGAUCAAUUGGCGAGGCGCUGCAUUUUUCGGCUGUGUUCCUUGAGCAGAUGCAGGUUGAGCGAACAUCCUACGUUUUUAUAACGCAUUUACAACUCUUAGCAAUGGAUAUCUCGGUUCCCCGAUCGAUGAAGAACGCAGCGAAAUGCGAUACGUAAUGCGAAUUGCAGAACUCAGUGAAUCAUCGAAUCUUUGAACGCAAAUUGCGGUCUCGGGACGUCUUCCCCGGGACCACUCCUGGUCGAGUAUCGGUUUUUUCCAACCUCCACAGCGCGUGUGGUGAUGUUUUGACGACAUUGCUUAACCAGCACGCAAGUGGGAAAUUGAGGUGUGAUAGUUCUCAUUUGUUUGUCCUCCCUUUCUUCUUUGCCGCGAGCAAAGGGAUGGGGGGGGUUUUGCAAGUAGCCCCUAUCUCCCUUUAAAUACAGAAGAGCCUUUUUGACUAGUCGCCAGAAAGAACUUUUUUUUUUGUUUUGAUUUAUUGUCCUUUGUGCGUCAAAGGAGAAGCAAAAAAAAAGAAAAUUGUUUUUUCUCAAAAAGCAAGCUAACUUCAUGUAAAAGCCUGCGCAUAGCGAUAAACCAAUGAUAUUCUACCUUCGCGGUGGUUUCUAUGGUUCCAUUCGCUGCGGGCAAGUAACAAGAGGACUGCAGGCUGGUGACCACGAGUUUGAAAGGGUGCAGAAAUUUAAUCCUUGGCGGGCGCUGAAGGUUUGCGUAACCUGCAGGUCUGUCUCGAACACAAGAUCUCGACUCAGGUGAGAAAACCCCCUGAAUUUAAGCAUAUUAUUAAGGGGAGGAAAAGAAACUAACAAGGAUUCCCCUAGUAACGGCGAGUGAAGCGGGAAGAGCUCAAUUGGAAACCGGCUGCCUUCGGGUAGUCGGGUUGUAAUCUCGAGACUGGUCAUCAGCGAGGACCCGGGUAUAAAUCCUUUGAAACAGGGUAUCAUAGAGGGUGAGAAUCCCGUUUAUGAUCCGGAGCUCCUUGCGUACGAUGCCUUUUCUAAGAGUCGGGUUGCUUGGGAGUGCAGCUCUAAAUGGGUGGUAAGUUUCAUCUAAAGCUAAAUACUGCGGGGAGACCGAUAGCGAACAAGUACCGUGAGGGAAAGAUGAAAAGAACUUUGAAAAGAGAGUUAAAAAGUACUUGAAAUUGUUAGGAGGUAAGCGUGGGCAACCAAUCAUGUUCUAACGCAUCUUAGGUGUGCCUGCUGAGGACGCUGUUCUUCGUGUUCGUAAAUGUCACGUUGAGCUCCUUCCGAUGUGGGGAAGCUGAUAAUGCGUGGGGCGAGUCAACAUCUGUUCGAGUCGGGAGAGAAACUUGUCGUGGGGGUACCUUCCUCCGGGUUGGGAGCCGUGACUUGUCUAUCUUGGCUUGGACAGAGGCAUAAAUGUGCGCCUUCGUGGCUGGGUCCUGCUGGCCUGCUGGGUGUAGAGGUGUGGACAACAUUGUUGUGCUGCCUUGAAGCUUGGUACUGCUUGCAGAGAACCACAUGUACAUUCGUGAUGUUGACGAAAUGGUUUUCCAUGACCCGUCUUGAAACACGGACCAAGGAGUCUAACGUAUGCGCGAGUAUUUUGGUGAAAAACCAUGAUGCGAAAUGAAAGUAAAUGUAGGCUCGUCCUGCAGAGGUAGGAAACCGUAAGGUGGCACUAUCGACCGUUUCUUUUGCUUGCGAAAGGUAUGAGUAUGAGCGUAUCCGUUGGGACCCGAAAGAUGGUGAUCUAUGCUUGAACAGGGUGAAGCCAGGGGAAACUCUGGUGGAGGCUCGUAGCGAUACUGACGUGCAAAUCGUUCGUCUGAUUUGAGUAUAGGGGCGAAAGACUAAUCGAACCAUCUAGUAGCUGGUUCCCUC